Mya arenaria is the source of this 3569-nucleotide long non-coding RNA. RefSeq lists it as uncharacterized. The transcript is spliced from 3 exons. Lineage: Eukaryota; Metazoa; Mollusca; Bivalvia; Myida; Myidae. The record is from RefSeq and is a predicted model, not a curated record.
UACUUGAAUCUGACUUUAAACCGGUUUAACACAAACAUACAAUUACAAUAAUCAAUACCAGGGUACAUGUAUCAUGCUGGAAAAUUACGAAUGUGUCAGACGAAUUAUUUUGUUUUUCAUAGAAGAUAAACAAAAUCAUCGAGCUUUGUAGAACGAUGAAUCAGAAUGACUGAAUGACACUAAGUUUUGCAAAAUGGAUAUAUCCCUAACUUCCAUGGCCUUCGACAUAUUUGAGUGGGAUCCUGAAACAACCCCUGACACAACAACUUAAUUUACAAGAACAACCCUGCGUGUAAGAACUUCAAUACUUCUGACAAAAACAAACAAAAGCAACUCCAGAUUUAUGAACAACUCUGAUUACUAGAAUAUGAACACCAACCCCAUCUUCAAGAACAACAACUUCAACCCCAGAACAUCAACACUUCCUGCAGGGACAACUACAAAAACAUCGGCUUCAAGAACAAAUUCAUCCUAAACACAAACAUCAGCAACAACAGCUACCCGAAUAAAACUACUCGAACUACAAGAACACCAGCAACACACUCUUUAAGAACACCAGCAUCAUCAUCUUCUUCUAGACUUGCAAAUGCAACAAACACCAAAGACAAAGUUGAAUGGCUAACUUCAAUGGAGAGGACAGAGUAAUGGCAAAAAGAGGAUCAUUUGAAAGAGAGGAGGACGAGGGAUAUGUAAAGAGUGUUCUGAGGCCAGGAUAUCAGCAGUGCGUUCAGUCAGGCGAGCGUUUACAAAACGCUCACAAACGUUUUGUUUUGUAUCUCUGUUGCAACGCAGCGCAUAUACGUUAAGCGGGAAACCAAACAGCAAACGUUCGCCGCAAACAUCUUUACUGAACGCGUUGCAGAUUCAUGAUGGUUGGGGCGGUGGAACAAUUUUCGAGAAUUAUUGACAUACAUGUGUAUAAAUAUAUAUAUAUCAUGGUAGGAACUGUUUGCCUUGUCAACUGUGACUUAAAUAUUUAGUUCUUGUGUCAGCCUGUGCUUAUCUCAAAUAUUUAAUGACAUUUUUUUGGUUUGUUUGAUAGACAUGAUAAUUAUAUAACUAUUAAAUAUAAAUGGCAACAAUUAUAGAUAAAACAUUGUAACUCAGGUUAACUUUAUAAUAGAUAAUUAAUUGUUUAUAUGCAAUAUAUAUUUAAGGAUGCAUAUUUCUUUUAUUCUUGAAUCUAUUUUUUGUGUGUUUUUUUUCAUAUAUCGAAAAUAUUUUUCAUGAAUGUGGGUUUUUAAUUCUUUGUCAGUCUCAGAAGAAUUAAACAACUUGUGUUGAAUUUAUUUGCUAGACUGAAACUAGGCUGUUAAUAUUGGUCAGACUAAUUGAAUCAGAGAAUAAUAUGUACAGCUAUUCGGAUUACUGACCAAUAGAGUGAAUUUAGUCAAUGAUGUAUGACCCUAAGAUUAAGAUUGACUUAAAGCUGCACUCUCACAGAUUGAAGUGAACUUCUUUAUUUUUUGGCUUGGAAAGAGCCAAUUUAUGCGGAAAUGCAUGAAAAAUAGUGUCAUAAGACUGCAUACUUUCUUAUUUAAGUUCAAGAAGUGAUGUUGAAUGCCAUUACACAUUAAUUUUCGAACAGAAAUCUAUAAAUCUGCGAUCUGAUCUUUUGUCAGCAGUCUGAUUUGAAAAAAAGAAUGUAGAAAUUUGCUCAUUUAAGACAAAAAAAUAGAACAGCUGUCAAAACCGUAAAUCUGUGCGUGUGCAGCUUAUUUGCAUAUUUUGAACUUAUGUUUCUUCAUUCGUUUUUUUCAUUUUUAAAGUUAUUUUCAAUUUAGAUCUUAGAAUAUUGUUAUGCCCCCACAAAGUGGCAGCAUAUAGGGUUGCCCUUGUCCGUACGUACGUACGUACGUACGUACGUACGUACGUACGUCCCGAAGAUUGUUUCCGAUCUAAUUCUUGAAAACCGUUUGUCCAAUCCUCACCAAACUUUAAACACAUGUUUGUGACCAUAAUAUCUUGAUCAAGUUCGAUAGUCAUGGAAAUCGCUUUAGUCAUUUAGGAGUUACGGCCCUUUUUUGCCAAAAAUUCCCGAAGAUUGUUUCCGAUCUAAUUCUUGAAAACCGUUUGUCCAAUCCUCACCAAACUUUAAACACAUGUUUGUGACCAUAAUAUCUUGAUCAAGUUCGAUAGUCAUGGAAAUCGCUUUAGUCAUUUAGGAGUUACGGCCCUUUUUUGCCAAAAAUACUUCAAAAAUAUAUGUUUCCAAUCUAAUUCUUGAAAAGUAUGUGUCCAAUCCUCACCAAACUUUACAUACAUGAUUGUGACCAUAAUAUCUUGAUCAAGUUCGAUAGCCAUGGAAAUCGCUUUUGUCAUUUAGGAGUUACGGCCCUUUAUUUGCAAAAAAAGACUUGAAAAAUACGUCCCGAAGAUUGUUUCCGAUCUAAUUCUUGAAAACUGUUUGUCCAAUCCUCACCAAACUUUUAACACAUGUUUGUGACCAUAAUAUCUUGAUCAAGUUCGAUAGCCAUGGAAAUCGCUUUAAUCAUUUAGGAGUUAGGGCCCUCAGAUUAUCCUGAAUAAUCAUUAUGGCUUAUUUUCUGUGACAAAAAAUCGAAGUGGGGGCAUCCGUGUCCUAUGGACACAUUUCUAGUUUUUAUAUUGAUUUAUAAAUAUGUAAUAGUAUUAUACUAAUAUCAAAGUAAAUUUGUACUGUUCAAUUUUAAAUGGACAGUUAAAGCUGUACACUCACAGAUAUACAAUUUUUACAACUCUUAUAUUCUUUGUCUUGGAAAGAGCACAUUUUUGCGUAAAUAUCUGUAAACCAGUGAUAAAAGAUUGCUGCCAAAAUAUCAAAUUGCGGACUUUCAUAUUUAUGUUUGAAAAUUAAUGUUUUAUUGCAUAAGACAUCAAUUUUUGAACUGAAAUAUAAAGAUCUACAAUCUAAUUUUUCAGCAGUCUUAUUUAACUGUUUUCUAUGGAAUUUCGAAAACUAUAAUGGCUCCAAGACAAAAAAUAAAAAAAAAUGUCAAACGUUCAAUCUGUGAGAGUGCAGCUUUAAUAAAUGGUUAAAUGUUGUUGUUUUUUAAUUCUGAUUUUUAUAAUAAGUUGAUGAUCGCCAUGUAUCAUUGAUAAAACAUGUAAAAUAAAAUAAAAAUUGUUUAUUUUCCAACACUGUUUUGCAUUUAAAUUUGCUGACAUAAUGCUCUCCAAAAACUUCUGAUAUGUGGUUUUAAAAUGUGUGUUCAUCCUUUAUUCAGCUAGUGGAUGGAAUUCAUUAAACUACUGUAUUCAGUACACCAUGCAGCUCUUCCAAUUGUUUGAAAGCAAUUAUUUCACAGAAUCUGAUAAUAGAGGGACCGGACUCAAGAUUCUACAUUGCAAGAAAAAGUGAAAAUUGUCAAAAUUUAUCAUCAAACUGUUAUGUUUCAACAGUGUACAGUGCACUGAAUCUUACUUAUGUAAUCAUAUAAGUUGAAAUAAACUCACUUUGUCUACCAUGUAAAUCGAAGUAAAUUUAGAAAUAGCAAUCAUGUAUUUAUCUGUAUUUAUCUGUAUAUAUGUUUAUGUGACCUUUACAUGCUUAAUGUAGAUAUGAUAAUACUAAUAAACAGGAAAAUCAU